AGACAUUGGUCCUCUUUGAGGAUACCACACUCCCUUGCCCUUGCUUCCAUCCCCCAUCCCUAAUAGGCUGGGCUUUGCAGGAAAUGGCAUGAAAUCAGCUCUUCUGAGUGUACAGAAGAACCUUUCGAGCAUUAUUUCUACACCCUUCUCCCCCCCUCUUUCCUCUUUGGAGGCUUCCAAGUUAGUGAUGAAUCCCAACAGCCAAUGAUGCUGGGUUUCCAGUUUAUUUCCUUCUGUUAGUUUAAUGUGCAAGUCAGUGGGGUUUUGAAUGCUGUGCAUUGAAUUUGCUUGCUCUCUUCUGUCUUUUAGCAGGUUUGGAUGCAUCUGCUCAGACUACUUCUCAUGAACUCACCAUUCCAAACGAUUUGAUUGGCUGCAUAAUCGGGCGUCAAGGCGCCAAAAUCAAUGAGAUCCGUCAGAUGUCUGGGGCGCAGAUCAAAAUUGCGAACCCAGUGGAAGGAUCUACUGAUAGGCAGGUUACCAUCACUGGAUCUGCUGCCAGCAUUAGCCUGGCUCAAUAUCUAAUCAAUGUCAGGCUUUCCUCGGAGACGGGUGGCAUGGGGAGCAGCUAGAACAAUGCAGAUUCAUCCAUAAUCCCUUUCUGCUGUUCACCACCACCCAUGAUCCAUCUGUGUAGUUUCUGAACAGUCAGCGAUUCCAGGUUUUAAAUAGUUUGUAAAUUUUCAGUUUCUACACACUUUAUCAUCCACUCGUGAUUUUUUAAUUAAAGCGUUUUAAUUCCUUUCUCUGUUCA
Molecule: small RNA, 754 nt
Filed under: Pongo abelii (Sumatran orangutan)
Lineage: Eukaryota; Metazoa; Chordata; Mammalia; Primates; Hominidae
Description: retained intron
Source: RNAcentral